CAGCCGCCGCGGUAAUUCGUAGGGUGCGAGCGUUAAUCGGAAUUACUGGGCGUAAAGCGUGCGCAGGCGGUUUUGUAAGACAGAUGUGAAAUCCCCGGGCUUAACCUGGGAACUGCGUUUGUGACUGCAAGACUAGAGUGUGGCAGAGGGGGGUGGAAUUCCACGUGUAGCAGUGAAAUGCGUAGAGAUGUGGAGGAACACCGAUGGCGAAGGCAGCCCCCUGGGUCAACACUGACGCUCAUGCACGAAAGCGUGGGGAGCAAACAGGAUUAGAUACCCUGGUAGUCCACGCCCUAAACGAUGCGAACUAGGUGUUGGGGAAGGAGACUUUCUUAGUACCGCAGCUAACGCGUGAAGUUCGCCGCCUGGGGAGUACGGUCGCAAGAUUAAAACUUAAAGGAAUUGACGG
This 409-nucleotide ribosomal RNA is filed under the name uncultured bacterium. RNAcentral's name for it is "bacterial SSU rRNA". It matches the Rfam family "Bacterial small subunit ribosomal RNA", at positions 509 to 916 of the family's 1533-position model. The record is from RNAcentral.